CGUCCGUAGCUGGCCGCACAAGUCCAUCGGGAAAUCCACCCGCCCAACGGGUGGACGUCCGGUGGAAACUGUACGGCUUGGGACCGGGAGGCGCGACGGGUACGUCCGGGGUAGGAGUGAAAUCCUGUAAUCCUGGACGGACCGCCGAUGGCGAAAGCACGUCGCGAGAACGGAUCCGACAGUGAGGGACGAAAGCCAGGAUCUCGAACC
RNAcentral lists this ribosomal RNA (210 nucleotides) under uncultured archaeon. RNAcentral's name for it is "partial 16S ribosomal RNA". It matches the Rfam family "Archaeal small subunit ribosomal RNA", at positions 516 to 725 of the family's 1478-position model. The record is from RNAcentral.